Molecule: ribosomal RNA, 491 nt
Filed under: uncultured bacterium
Lineage: Bacteria
Description: partial 16S ribosomal RNA
Rfam family: Bacterial small subunit ribosomal RNA
Source: RNAcentral
AGUGAUCGCUGGCGGUAGGCCUAACACAUGCAAGUCGAACGGCAGCACAGUAAGAGCUUGCUCUUACGGGUGGCGAGUGGCGGACGGGUGAGGAAUACAUCGGAAUCUACUUUUUCGUGGGGGAUAACGUAGGGAAACUUACGCUAAUACCGCAUACGACCUACGGGUGAAAGCAGGGGAUCUUCGGACCUUGCGCGAUUGAAUGAGCCGAUGUCGGAUUAGCUAGUUGGCGGGGUAAAGGCCCACCAAGGCGACGAUCCGUAGCUGGUCUGAGAGGAUGAUCAGCCACACUGGAACUGAGACACGGGCCAGACUCCUACGGGAGGCAGCAGUGGGGAAUAUUGGACAAUGGGCGCAAGCCUGAUCCAGCCAUACCGCGUGGGUGAAGAAGGCCUUCGGGUUGUAAAGCCCUUUUGUUGGGAAAGAAAAGCAGCAGGUUAAGACCCCGCUGUUCUGACGGUACCCAAAGAAUAAGCACCGGCUAACUUCGU